GUUUUAUCUGUGUGUCUGGUGUAGCAGACUCUGUGCAGCAUGAGAUUAAAAAAGAAUGAAGUACUGAUCCGUGCUACAACAUGGAUGAACCUCAGAAACAUUAUGCCGAGUGAAAGAUGCCAGGCACAAAAAGCCAUAUAUGUACUGUUCCAGUUAUGUGAAAUGUCCAGGAUGGACAAAUGCCUAGAGACAGAGAGCAGAAAUGAGAGAUCCACCAACAAAAGGAGUCCAGCAAAGGGAAGUCGGAGAAGAAAGGACACGUGGCUGCAGACACACAACACACACGGCUUUCUCUCCUAAAUUACUUCCUUUAACGUAUAUAUGCUACUCCACAGGGAGUGAGGAUGAAGGGCAAAGUGCCUUGGAUCAUGCUCUACAGAUGGCAGAGCAACAAGAUAGAAGAAGGCUGGGUCCUUAGUGACCUCAUGGAGCAGAGCCACUGCAAGUCCUGGACUCAUCAUCUCCACACUGCUGCAUGAGGGAGAAAGAAACUUCCAUAUUAUUUAAAUCAUUGUCAGCUUGAACCUGAUUCUACAUUUUAAUACAUAUCUCUAGGUCUUCCUCAACAAUAUAGUUUGAAUGACUGCAUGUUUUUCUAUCAUGUGAAUGUUCAACAUCAAAAUUUAUUGAAUGAAAAAAAAGUUAUUGAAUUGACCUAAUUCUAACUUGUUGGCCAUUUGUGUUCCUUUCAAACUUUUCUUCAUUUUAAAUACCACUGCAAUAAAUACCCUUGUAGCUAAACCUUCGGGUUUAUGUUACUGAUGGGUUAUUGAUUAUUUCUU
RNAcentral lists this long non-coding RNA (782 nucleotides) under Equus caballus (horse). RNAcentral describes it as "lncRNA (ENSECAG00000044364.1)". Lineage: Eukaryota; Metazoa; Chordata; Mammalia; Perissodactyla; Equidae. The record is from RNAcentral.